GGGCCCGUGGGUUAGUUUGGCUAUGCUAGGAGCUUUGGGAGCUUUUGACUCCGGUUCAAAUCCGGACGGGCCCA
RNAcentral lists this transfer RNA (74 nucleotides) under Candidatus Poseidoniales archaeon. RNAcentral describes it as "tRNA-Pro". It matches the Rfam family "tRNA". Rfam says of the family: Transfer RNA (tRNA) molecules are approximately 80 nucleotides in length. Their secondary structure includes four short double-helical elements and three loops (D, anti-codon, and T loops). Further hydrogen bonds mediate the characteristic L-shaped molecular structure. tRNAs have two regions of fundamental functional importance: the anti-codon, which is responsible for specific mRNA codon recognition, and the 3' end, to which the tRNAs corresponding amino acid is attached (by aminoacyl-tRNA synthetases). tRNAs cope with the degeneracy of the genetic code in two manners: having more than one tRNA (with a specific anti-codon) for a particular amino acid; and 'wobble' base-pairing, i.e. permitting non-standard base-pairing at the 3rd anti-codon position. Lineage: Archaea; Methanobacteriati; Thermoplasmatota; Candidatus Poseidoniia; Candidatus Poseidoniales. The record is from RNAcentral. RNAcentral also lists the same sequence under 1 other name.